Molecule: ribozyme, 116 nt
Filed under: Aedes aegypti (yellow fever mosquito)
Lineage: Eukaryota; Metazoa; Arthropoda; Insecta; Diptera; Culicidae
Description: drz-agam-1 ribozyme
Rfam family: drz-agam-1 ribozyme
Source: Rfam by way of RNAcentral
UGCCCAGCAACUCCUAUCCCUACCUCCACGUGGAACUGGCCGGGGUACGAGUAACCUUAGGGAAAAUCAAGUAAUUAACCCCGGUGGGCAUUUUAGUCGUAUGCUGACAGGGAAGG